RNAcentral lists this unclassified non-coding RNA (1867 nucleotides) under Hevea brasiliensis (rubber tree). The record is from RNAcentral. Lineage: Eukaryota; Viridiplantae; Streptophyta; Magnoliopsida; Malpighiales; Euphorbiaceae.
AUGCCAGUCCAUCGGCUCACAACUUCAGCAAUAUGUUCUGGUUUAACUGUUUCUGUCAACAUCAAGUUCUCAUCUGUGCUUCCUUCAAGCCUAGCAAUGGCAGCAUCAACUUCCUCCAAUGCUCCAUAACGCAAAUCCGCGACUCUAGCUAAAUCAUAUCUUCUUUCUGCCUCUUGUAUUGCGAACUGUAUCUCCUCUUUCUUCUGCUUGAGACGCCUGAUUUCAUCAAUCCUCUCCUUUUCUCUUUUGUAUUUCAUCAUCAGAGGCUGAAGCUUGUCUCUCAAGUCAUCAAGUUCUUUCACCACCUCAGCAAGCCGAGCUUUGCUGGCUUUGUCCUUCUCCUUCUCAAGCGCAUGGAGUUCCACUUCUAGCUGGAUUUUCUUCCUCUCCAGAUUAUCAAUUUCUUCUGGCUGACUAUCAAGUUGGACUCUUACAUUUGCACAGGCUUCAUCAACUAAAUCAAUUGCCUUAUCAGGCAGAUGACGACCAGUAAUAUAUCGACUUGACAACUGUGCUGCAACUACAAGAGCUCGAUCUAGAAUUCGAACACCAUGAUGACCCUCAUACUUCUCUUUCAAACCUCGAAGAAUGUUAAUUGUGUCCGUAACACUAGGUUCUGCAACAUAAACUUGCUGGAACCUUCUCUCAAAUGCAGCAUCUUUCUCUACAUACUUUCUGUACUCUUCUAGUGUUGUUGCACCAAUGCACCUAAGCUGACCUCUAGCAAGCAUGGGCUUGAAAAGAUUAGCAGCAUCCAUUGACCCCUCUGUUCGACCAGCUCCAAGAACAAGAUGUAUCUCAUCGAUAAAUAGUAUCACUUUCCCUUCAGCCUCUUCCACUUCCUUCAAGACGGCCUUCAACCGCUCCUCAAAUUCUCCUCUAUAUUUUGCCCCAGCAACUAAGGCACCCAUAUCCAGUGCAAUAAGCCUCACAUCAGUAAGGUUAUUUGGCACGUCUCCUCUCACAAUCCUUUGAGCCAAGCCUUCUACCACAGCAGUUUUACCAACUCCAGGCUCACCAAUAAGAACUGGGUUGUUUUUGGUUCUCCGUGAUAAAAUCCUUAUAACUCUCCUGAUCUCUUCAUCUCUUCCAAUGACAGGGUCAAGCUUUCCAGCUUGUUCCACAAGAUCUCUCCCAUAAGUCUUCAAGGCUUGAAAUGUACUAUCUCCAGAGGCGCUCUCUACCUUUUUCCCUUCCUUGCCUCGAAGUUUCUGAACCUCAGAUUUUACUUUUGCAGCAGCUAUUCCCGCUUCUUUCAACAAGUCCCCUAUUUGGGAAUCCUCAAGAAGACCUAAGAUGAUCUGAUCAACAGCUAAAUGGGUGUCACCUUGUGUUUUUUGUAAUGCUUGGGCACGCCUUAUCACUUUAAUAAGACUAGUACUCGGUGGAACUUCAUCAGGAGGUGGAGAUUGAGAUGGGAGCUUUUUCAUGGCGUUAUUGAACACUCUUUGUGCUGCCUGGGAAGCAGAUUCACCCCCAGCAUUGGAGAUUGCCAGGCUAAAGAUUCCACUAGAUUCUGAAAUCAGAGCAACAGCAAGAUGAAGAGGGGUUAUCUGGGCAUGACCAGCACUGAUUGCCAGCUCAUGAGCCGAAGCAAGAGCCUCAUUCGUCUUGUGGGUAAAUUUUCCCGGAUCCAUUCCUUGGAGUUUCCACUACCUAAUAAAAUCUCAGCAACUAGAAACGAAACGAAACUGACAGCUGGAAGAAAUACUUCGAUUACAAACCGAGAGCGUUAGUAAUAUAGAUGAUAUACAGAAGUGCCUGAAAUAAAGAUCUGAUUUCGUCUCUUGGAUUUGAUUGCAGAGUGAAGGAAGAAAAAGGAGGAAGCGGGCUCUAUAUACGAGAGAAAUGAAGACAUCUGGAAGGA